CAGUAGCCGCGGGAAUACGAAGGGUGCAAGCGUUAAUCGGAAUUACUGGGCGUAAAGCGCGCGUAGGUGGUUCAUUAAGUUGGAUGUGAAAGCCCUGGGCUCAACCUGGGAACUGCAUCCAAAACUGGUGAGCUAGAGUACGGUAGAGGGUAGUGGAAUUUCCUGUGUAGCGGUGAAAUGCGUAGAUAUAGGAAGGAACACCAGUGGCGAAGGCGGCUUACUGGCUCAUACUGGACGCUGAGGUGCGAAAGCGUGGGGAGCAAACAGGAUUAGAUACCCCCGUAGUCCCUGUCUCUUAUAC
Molecule: ribosomal RNA, 301 nt
Filed under: uncultured bacterium
Lineage: Bacteria
Description: partial 16S ribosomal RNA
Rfam family: Bacterial small subunit ribosomal RNA
Source: RNAcentral